CAGUUACUACGCGUCUCCAAGGCUACAGGAAACCAGGAUUGAAGGACACAGGCCUCUCACCCAGCCUGAAGUGUGCCUUCUGUGUUAACCUGCACUGUGAUAUAUAGGAUUUGCUGAGAAGAGACCCACC
Grammomys surdaster is the source of this 130-nucleotide long non-coding RNA. RefSeq lists it as uncharacterized. NCBI's taxonomy places the organism in Eukaryota, Metazoa, Chordata, Mammalia, Rodentia, Muridae. The transcript has 3 exons. The record is from RefSeq and is a predicted model, not a curated record.